AAUAAGUACAAUUUUACACUGUUCAUAUCCAACAUUUAACGUUCGUCUUAUUUAAAAAAAUUAUGAUUAGUACUUUUUUAUUAUUAUUAGUUGAUAAAACAUUAAUAGUACUUUAUUCAUGUUUUAACUAAUUUUUUUAACUUUUUCAUAAAUUUUUUAAAUAAAACGAAUGGUCAAACGUUAGAUACGAAAACUCACAUUACACUUCUU
Molecule: microRNA precursor, 210 nt
Filed under: Oryza punctata
Lineage: Eukaryota; Viridiplantae; Streptophyta; Magnoliopsida; Poales; Poaceae
Description: MIR812 microRNA precursor family
Rfam family: MIR812 microRNA precursor family
Source: Rfam by way of RNAcentral